GUUGGGACUCAUGCUGCAGCAAGAGAGAACGAAAACCAAAAACAGGUGCCCUUGUUCAUAGCGCUACCUGAGGAGGGUGGGGUGGUUCCUUAAAAUGCGAUGAGGGCAGGGGCGGAUUGGUAGAUCAGGCGGAAAAGGGUGGUUUGGGUGGUCUGCCUACUGCCUUGGUGGAGCUGUGUGCAGGGAUCAUGCACGGUACCCUGCUUUUGCUCAUGGCGCCUCGGAAAUGGCACUUGGCCUUUUUGCCUCUUAUUGUUCAUAACUGUCCCGGCCAUGCGUGCAUGCAGGUUUUUCCAGCCCCUCAUUAUUUCUUUGCAUUCUGUUGCUCUAGGAGAUGUUUGUCCAGGACAUUUGACCCUCCAGUAAAGGGUCCCAGGUCGCAUCCUGUCUCAAUUAGGUGACAAAAUGAUAAAGUAUAACAAAUGUGGAGAGUUAGGAGUUCUCAUAUGAUGUUGGGAGAAGUGUCCUUUGGGUAAUUAUUUCUAGGUAUAAGCUGGUCCUCUCUGGUUAAAGAGGUACAUUUUGUGAAAUCCAGCAAUUCCAUGUCUACUAAGAUCCUUUAGAGAAACUCCCACAUACAGGGAAACAUAUACAAAAUGGUCAUUCCAGGGAAAAACAGCCUAAAGGUCAUCUAGUGGCAGAAUAAAUACAUUGUGACACAUAAAAAUAGCAAAUGAUAAACAUGUGAUGCCAAUUAUAUGCAGUUAACAAACAUACAAAAUAACAUUACAUAAUAGACAUAGAGACAUAUGCCUUUGGUAAAAGUAUAACAAAUGUACACACAAAAUAUGCCAAUUUUAGAAUAGCAAUAACUUCUGAGAAAUUAGGGAAAGGGAUGGAAGCUGAAAAGGUAGACAAGGAACAUCAAAUAUAUAUAUUACAUUUAAUUUCCUUUUAAAACACUGAAGCAAAAAUGGCAUUUGUUGUAUCCAGGUGGUAUGUAUGCACCUUCUUAAUGUAUUAAAUUAAAACAUUAAAAUCUCUCUCUGUGUUUGGAAUGCUUUUCAAGAUAUUUUUUUAAAAAGAAACAAGCAUUUUGUUAGUAGAGUCAAAUAGAAUUAAUGUCUUUGUCGGUUUACUGCUUUUUGAAAUUCAGCUUAAUUUUCUUGAGUAAGGCAAAUCUAUACUACUUCAAAAUAAAGCCUCAUUGAGAUAAACCUUUUGAUGAUGGCAAUCUGAAUAAACAAACACACAUAUCCUUCAAGAAAGGUACUUAUUAUCUGGGUAAGGGAUUGUGGCUCCCACCCCAAAACUCAGCUGCCCCCUAAGGCGCUGCUGGGACCCACUUCCUGGUGACCAGCUUCUCCAUUUGAGGACUGGUUAAUGACUCCUGGUCUUCCGGUUCAAACAGAACAAGGGACAGCUCUUGCCUUCAUGAAUGGGGGGAGGGUUGACCCUAGGUCUGGUCUGUUGUGUAAGCAGAAAUUGCCACACUUUGACAAAGCACUGCUUAAAUAUUUUGGUGGGGCGGCCUCCACUUUAAAGUUUUUGAGGAGGGUUGGGGGGGGAUUAGUCAACCAGCUGCUAAAGCUCAGUUACUCAGCUUGUUAAGAGUUAACUUCACAUCUGGAUCUAGUCAGUGUGAGGCUGAGUGCAAAAGCCAACAGAGAACCAAGGAAUACCAUAGCAAGGGAGGCAGACAUGACCAGCGCCUGCCUUUUGUCAUAAAUACAACUGUCACCUCAAGCUCAGCAGGUUGCUCAGUGGUAAAGAAUCUGUCCGCCAAUGCAGGAGACCCAAGAAAAGCAGGUUGGAUCCCUGUGUUGGGAAGAUCCCAUGGAGUAGGAAAUGGCAACUCACUCCAGGAUUCUUGGCUGGAAAAUCCCAUGGACAGUGGAGUCUGGCGGGCUCACUGAGUCAGACAGGACUGAGCAUGGGCACGAAUUUCCUCCUUAAAGGUCCCACCUCCAAAUAUCACCACUCCAUCACAUUGGGCUCCAACUAACGAAUUUGGGGUAUUGGACGGGAAGGACACAUUCAGUUCAUGAAUAAGCCCUGAAUUCAUGCUUGCUGAAUGAACAAGUGAAUGAAUGAAUUCAGGUAAAGAAAGCAGACAGUUUCCACUGUUUUUAG
Long non-coding RNA from Bos taurus (domestic cattle), 2073 nucleotides. NCBI's taxonomy places the organism in Eukaryota, Metazoa, Chordata, Mammalia, Artiodactyla, Bovidae. The record is from Ensembl.